GAUGAAGAACGUAGUGAAAUGCGAUACUUGGUGUGAAUUGCAGAAUCCCGUGAACCAUCGAGUCUUUGAACGCAAGUUGCGCCCGAAGCCACUAGGCCGAGGGCACGCCUGCCUGGGCGUCACACGCCGUUGCCCCCCCAUCUACUCCUUCGGGAUUGCGGGGGGGCGGAUGAUGGCCUCCCGUGCGCCUAGCCGCGCGGUUGGCAUAAAUACCAAGUCCUCGGCGACGCACGCCACGACAAUCGGUGGUUGCGAAACCUCGGUUGCCCGUCGUGUGCGUUCGUCGCGCAUCGAGGGCUCGAAAAAAUGCUCGGCUCCGGCUGGGCUUUCAACGCGACCCCAGGUCAGGCGGGGUUACCCGCUGAGUUUAAGCAUAUCAAUAAGCGGAGGA
This 391-nucleotide unclassified non-coding RNA is filed under the name soil metagenome. Its description in RNAcentral is "partial contains 5.8S ribosomal RNA, internal transcribed spacer 2, and large subunit ribosomal RNA". The stretch from base 1 to 122 matches the Rfam family "5.8S ribosomal RNA", at positions 35 to 154 of the family's 154-position model. The record is from RNAcentral.